RNAcentral lists this ribosomal RNA (504 nucleotides) under uncultured bacterium. Its description in RNAcentral is "partial 16S ribosomal RNA". It matches the Rfam family "Bacterial small subunit ribosomal RNA", at positions 29 to 523 of the family's 1533-position model. The record is from RNAcentral.
AUUGAACGCUGGCGGCAGGCCUAACACAUGCAAGUCGAACGGUAGCACAGAGAGCUUGCUCUCGGGUGACGAGUGGCGGACGGGUGAGUAACGUCUGGGAAACUGCCCGAUGGAGGGGGAUAACUACUGGAAACGGUAGCUAAUACCGCAUAACGUCGCAAGACCAAAGUGGGGGACCUUCGGGCCUCACACCAUCGGAUGUGCCCAGAUGGGAUUAGCUAGUAGGUGGGGUAAUGGCUCACCUAGGCGACGAUCCCUAGCUGGUCUGAGAGGAUGACCAGCCACACUGGAACUGAGACACGGUCCAGACUCCUACGGGAGGCAGCAGUGGGGAAUAUUGCACAAUGGGCGCAAGCCUGAUGCAGCCAUGCCGCGUGUAUGAAGAAGGCCUUCGGGUUGUAAAGCACUUUCAGCGGGGAGGAAGGCGGUGAAGUUAAUAACUUCACCGAUUGACGUUACCCGCAGAAGAAGCACCGGCUAACUACGUGCCAGCAGCCGCGGUAA